Molecule: ribosomal RNA, 516 nt
Filed under: uncultured bacterium
Lineage: Bacteria
Description: bacterial SSU rRNA
Rfam family: Bacterial small subunit ribosomal RNA
Source: RNAcentral
AACGAACGUUAGCGGCGCGCCUAACACAUGCAAGUCGAGCGAGAAAGGGAGCAAUCCCCGGUACAGCGGCGCACGGGUGAGUAACACGUAGGUAAUCUGCCUCCGAGUGGGGAUAACCUUCCGAAAGGAGGGCUAACACCGCAUAAGACCACGACUCCGAGAGGGGAUGAGGUCAAAGCCGGCCACUAUACAUAAGCUGGCGCUUGGAGAUGAGCCUGCGGCCCAUCAGCUAGUUGGCAGGGUAACGGCCCACCAAGGCGAAGACGGGUAGCUGGUCUGAGAGGAUGAUCAGCCACACUGGAACUGAGACACGGUCCAGACUCCUACGGGAGGCAGCAGUGGGGAAUCUGCGCAAUGGGCGAAGCCUGACGCAGCGACGCCGCGUGAGUGAUGAAGGCCUUCGGGUUGUAAAGCUCUGUGGAGGGGGAAGAAUAAGGCAUGGCUAACAUCCAUGUCGAUGACGGUACCCCUUUAGCAAGCACCGGCUAACUCUGUGCCAGCAGCCGCGGUAAGACA